Molecule: long non-coding RNA, 821 nt
Organism: Peromyscus leucopus (white-footed mouse)
Lineage: Eukaryota; Metazoa; Chordata; Mammalia; Rodentia; Cricetidae
Exons: 3
Source: RefSeq, a predicted model, not a curated record
GAGGCUGCGAACAGCCUGCUGGGAAGCUGCGGAGGGGCAGGGUCCGCAGCUGCGCAGAGAAUGAAAUGGAGGGUCCAUCACUGACAAGGCAGGCCUCUCCUCAGGAUGAAAACCUUGGCGGGGGAUUCCCAGUUUCUUUCAUUGAAGAUUUUAUUAGAGAAGAAAAGUUUUAUACCAAGUAUAAAUAUGCCCACAACCAUGUAAAAAUGUGACUGCAGGAAGAAUACGGGAGAAGUGAAGUAAUAAAGGGGAGGAUGUGAAGAGACACAGCUAGCAAAUAUGUACCAUCCUGUCAGGUAUUUAUACAGAAGCUAUGUGGGAUAAGUUCAUUUGUCUGCUGCGUAUCCCCCAACAGCAUAUCAGUUGAUUAGAAAUAGAAGGAUUAAUUUUGAAUGCUGAAUUUUUUCACUAAUCUGCAAAUCUAACCAUAAACAGUAUCAAAAUGUUUUAACCACUAUCAACUUGUCAUAAGUUUUGAAAGGAAGGAGUAUGUGCCAAGUAGUCCACAUUUCAUUGGUUUUCAGGAUUGUUUUGAGUACACAGGGUAGCUGCUUGCAUUUCCAUAGAAAUUUAAGCACUGUGUUGUUCAUUUCGAUGACAAUAGUAAAUUAUCUAGGGUGUAGACUGUGCCUUUACUUAAUCUCUAAUUGCCCAGGAAAUUUAUGUUAUCUUAACAAUAUUUAGCCUUAUAAUCAAUGAACCUGGGGAAUUUUAAAAUUUGUAUAGUUCUAUUCUAAUUUUUAUUCUGCAAAACGUAAAUAAAUGUAAGUGCACUUAGCCUAUAUAAUUAUUUAUUUUGUUUAUUUCUUUUAUUUUUCUGC